RNAcentral lists this transfer RNA (78 nucleotides) under Octadecabacter arcticus 238. RNAcentral describes it as "tRNA-Val". It matches the Rfam family "tRNA". From Rfam's summary of the family: Transfer RNA (tRNA) molecules are approximately 80 nucleotides in length. Their secondary structure includes four short double-helical elements and three loops (D, anti-codon, and T loops). Further hydrogen bonds mediate the characteristic L-shaped molecular structure. tRNAs have two regions of fundamental functional importance: the anti-codon, which is responsible for specific mRNA codon recognition, and the 3' end, to which the tRNAs corresponding amino acid is attached (by aminoacyl-tRNA synthetases). tRNAs cope with the degeneracy of the genetic code in two manners: having more than one tRNA (with a specific anti-codon) for a particular amino acid; and 'wobble' base-pairing, i.e. permitting non-standard base-pairing at the 3rd anti-codon position. The record is from RNAcentral. Lineage: Bacteria; Pseudomonadati; Pseudomonadota; Alphaproteobacteria; Rhodobacterales; Roseobacteraceae.
GAUGAUUAGCUCAGCGGUAGAGCACUUCGUUGACAUCGAAGGGGUCACUGGUUCGAUCCCAGUAUCGUCCACCAUAAC